UGUCAUAUUCUAUAGUCCCGUUCUAGUCCCAAAAUUGCUAGAUAGCCUAAGUGGCUGGCUAAUUAAAAUCUUAUCAGCCGGGCAAGGCAUCGGGAAUUUCCUUGUGAGGGUUUAUUAGUUGGUAUUCAUAUUGAUAUUACGUAAUUACACUGGCUACCUUACUGAAGACCGGUUUGGAUGUCGACAGCUUUUUUCAAAUAUAGUUGUAGCGCCUAGACAGACGGUGAUGGUACGAGAAAGGCGAGCCGUGCCAAAUUUGGCGAUCAUAUUUCAUUUUCCGACAAACUGAGAGAGAUUUCAGGCUUAUAGAAGGGAAAAACGGCACCCCAUACCUCCGCCACACCUAAGUCGCACCACUCAUAAUAUUGACAGAUUAUUAGUCAAUUAGUUAAUAAGAAUCAAAUCAUUUAAGAGAAUAAAGGGAAACAGAAUUUUCCAAACAUAAUAGUAUGUAUACUAUUUACUUUCUACUAUUUAACCUUGAUUUUUUGUCUCUUUAACGUUUAAAAAAAUUCCCGAAGGACAUUACCGAAGGAAUCUUGUUAUGCUUGGUUAAAAAUAAAUAAAUAAAAUAAUGCUAACUGGUACAAAAAAAUCAAAAAAAUCAAUUUAAAAUUAAGGGUACCCUUAGAUGUAUUAUGUAUGUAUAUAUAUUAUUAUGUAUUUUAUUUUAUUUAAAAAAUCAGCAUAGGACUAUUGUGACAUAAACGAACCUCGAUAUCCAUACGUUCGUUUGUAUUUUCAAAAAUAUUACGGAAAUUAAACACCCGCGGAUGUUUCAUUUUCGUUUUUCGCACUAUCCGGUCAAACCCGUGUAAAAAAAAACGUCCACUUAGCUGAAUACAGCCUAAAAUCCGCCUAAAAUGAUUUGUUUAUUUUUGCAUUUGCAAUCGUAGAAUCCCAAUUUUGUCACGGAUCUUUGAAACCAUUUCCUCUUCGUCCAAUAAAAUAAUGACCAUACUUGCACUACUACCUAUUAGUUCACUUAACUUAU
Long non-coding RNA from Daphnia pulex (common water flea), 994 nucleotides. RefSeq lists it as uncharacterized. The record is from RefSeq and is a predicted model, not a curated record. The transcript is spliced from 2 exons. NCBI's taxonomy places the organism in Eukaryota, Metazoa, Arthropoda, Branchiopoda, Diplostraca, Daphniidae.